CCUACGGGAGGCAGCAGUAGGGAAUCUUUCACAAUGGGCGAAAGCCUGAUGGAGCAACGCCGCGUGCAGGAUGAAGGCCUUCGGGUUGUAAACUGCUUUUAUAAGCGAGAAAUAUGAUGGUAACUUAUGAAUAAGGAUCGGCUAACUACGUGCCAGCAGCCGCGGUCAUACGUAGGAUCCGAGCAUUAUCCGGAGUGACUGGGUGUAAAGAGUGGCGUAGGUGGCAUAAUAAGUAGCUAGUGAAAUCUGGUGGCUCAACCAUUCAGACUAUUCGCUAAACUGUUAAGCGCGAGACCGUUAGGGGUAACUGGAAUUUCUAGUGUAGGAGUGAAAUCCGUAGAUAUUAGAAGGAACACCAAUAGCGAAGGCAGGUUACUGGGACGGUUCUGACACUAAGGCACGAAAGCGUAGGGAGCAAACGGGAUUAGAUACCCGUGUAGUC
RNAcentral lists this ribosomal RNA (442 nucleotides) under uncultured bacterium. Its description in RNAcentral is "partial 16S ribosomal RNA". It matches the Rfam family "Bacterial small subunit ribosomal RNA", at positions 338 to 795 of the family's 1533-position model. The record is from RNAcentral.